This 555-nucleotide ribosomal RNA is filed under the name Pachybathron sp. MNHN-IM-2013-60401. RNAcentral's name for it is "partial 12S ribosomal RNA". It matches the Rfam family "Bacterial small subunit ribosomal RNA", at positions 528 to 1384 of the family's 1533-position model. The record is from RNAcentral. Lineage: Eukaryota; Metazoa; Mollusca; Gastropoda; Neogastropoda; Cystiscidae.
GAGACUAAAAGGCCAAGUUAUAUAUUUUAGGUUAAAAGGGAAGUUAGAUAGAUAAUUAUAAGAUUGAGAUUGCUUAUGUAGAAGUAAAAUUUGAUGCAUAGGAAAAAUAGGUCUGAAGAUCUUUGAAGAUUGAAUCUUCGAUAACCUAGGGGGAAACUGGGAUUAGAUACCCCAUUAUUCUAGGAUGUAAAUAGAUAGCAAUAUACCAGAGAACUACGAAAAACACGUUUAAAACUCAAAGAACUUGGCGGCAUCUUAAACUAUUUAGGGGAACUUGUCUCUUAAUCGACAAUCCACGUGAAAUUUACCUAUAUUUGUAAAACAGUCUGUAUACCGUCGUCGACAGGUAACUUUCUAAGAAAAAAGAAGUUAGCAAAAUAGUUAAUUGCUUAAGCUAAGACGUCAGAUCAAGGUGCAGCUAAUGUAUAGGAGAGGAUGAGUUACAAUUAUAGUAAUUAUAAUUACGGAGUAUAAAUGGAAGUUAUUUAUAUGAAGGGGGACUUAAAAGUAAUAUUAAAUAUAGAAAUAACAUGAAUUUAAGGCUCUAAGAUGUGC